UGGGGAAUAUUGGGGCAAUGGGGCGAAAGCCUGACCCAGCAACGCCGCGUGAAGGAAUAAGGCCCUAUGGGUCGUAAACUUCUUUUGUAUGUGAGCAAUAAGGUCCACGUGUGGUCCGAUGAGAGUAGUAUACGAAUAAGCAUCGGCUAACUCCGUGCCAGCAGCCGCGGUAAUACGGAGGAUGCAAGCGUUAUCCGGAUUCAUUGGGUUUAAAGGGUGCGUAGGCGGCUUGGUAAGUCAGCGGUGAAAUUCCAGUGCUCAACAUUGGCCGUGCCGUUGAUACUGCUGGGCUUGAAUGCGGAUGCCGUGGGAGGAAUGUGUGGUGUAGCGGUGAAAUGCAUAGAUAUCACACAGAACACCGAUUGCGAAGGCAUCUCACGAAUCCGCAAUUGACGC
RNAcentral lists this ribosomal RNA (396 nucleotides) under uncultured bacterium. Its description in RNAcentral is "bacterial SSU rRNA". It matches the Rfam family "Bacterial small subunit ribosomal RNA", at positions 355 to 746 of the family's 1533-position model. The record is from RNAcentral.